CCUACGGGUGGCAGCAGUGGGGAAUAUUGGUCAAUGGGCGAGAGCCUGAACCAGCCAAGUCGCGUGAGGGAAGACGGUCCUAUGGAUUGUAAACCUCUUUUGCCGGGGAGCAAAAAGCGGUACGUGUACCGCAUCGAGAGUACCCGGAGAAACAGCAUCGGCUAACUACGUGCCAGCAGCCGCGGUAAUACGGAGGAUGCGAGCGUUAUCCGGAUUUAUUGGGUUUAAAGGGUGCGCAGGCGGCGAUUUAAGUAAGCGGUAAAAUUUCGGGGCUCAACACCGACGGGACGUUGAGAAUGGCUUGCUAGAGUGGGCGAGAGGUAGGCGGAAUGCGUGGUGUAGCGGUGAAAUGCAUAGAGAUCACGCAGAACUCCGAUUGCGAAGGCAGCAUACCGGCGCCCAACUGACGCUGAGGCACGAAAGCGUGGGUAUCGAACAGGAUUAGAUACCCCUGUAGUC
Molecule: ribosomal RNA, 459 nt
Filed under: uncultured bacterium
Lineage: Bacteria
Description: partial 16S ribosomal RNA
Rfam family: Bacterial small subunit ribosomal RNA
Source: RNAcentral